This 546-nucleotide ribosomal RNA is filed under the name uncultured archaeon. RNAcentral describes it as "bacterial SSU rRNA". It matches the Rfam family "Archaeal small subunit ribosomal RNA", at positions 333 to 879 of the family's 1478-position model. The record is from RNAcentral.
CACCAGGCGCGAAAACUUUACAAUGCCGGCAACGGCGAUAAGGGAACCUCGAGUGCCAGGUUACAAAUCUGGCUGUCGUGAUGCCUAAAAAGCAUUGCAUAGCAAGGGCCGGGCAAGACCGGUGCCAGCCGCCGCGGUAACACCGGCGGCUCGAGUGGUAACCGUUAUUAUUGGGUCUAAAGGGUCUGUAGCCGGCCGGGUAAGUCUCUUGGGAAAUCUGGCAGCUUAACUGUCAGGCUUUCAGGAGAUACUGCCUGGCUCGAGGCCGGGAGAGGUGAGAGGUACUUCAGGGGUAGGGGUGAAAUCUUGUAACCCUUGAAGGACCACCAGUGGCGAAGGCGUCUCACCAGAACGGACCUGACGGCAAGGGACGAAAGCUAGGGGCACGAACCGGAUUAGAUACCCGGGUAGUCCUAGCCGUAAACGAUACUCGCUAGGUGUCGGCCACGGUGCGACCGUGGUCGGUGCCGUAGGGAAGCCGUGAAGCGAGCCACCUGGGAAGUACGGCCGCAAGGCUGAAACUUAAAGGAAUUGGCGGGGGAGCAC